Molecule: ribosomal RNA, 959 nt
Filed under: Neisseria sp. Al3
Lineage: Bacteria; Pseudomonadati; Pseudomonadota; Betaproteobacteria; Neisseriales; Neisseriaceae
Description: bacterial SSU rRNA
Rfam family: Bacterial small subunit ribosomal RNA
Source: RNAcentral
CGAACGGUAGCGGGGAAGAAGCUUGCUUCUUCUGCCGACGAGUGGCGAACGGGUGAGUAAUAUAUCGGAACGUGCCAAGUAAUGGGGGAUAACUAUCCGAAAGGAUGGCUAAUACCGCAUACGCUCUACGGAGGAAAGCAGGGGAUCUUCGGACCUUGCGUUAUUUGAGCGGCCGAUAUCUGAUUAGCUAGUUGGUGGGGUAAAAGCCUACCAAGGCAACGAUCAGUAGCGGGUCUGAGAGGAUGAUCCGCCACACUGGGACUGAGACACGGCCCAGACUCCUACGGGAGGCAGCAGUGGGGAAUUUUGGACAAUGGGCGAAAGCCUGAUCCAGCCAUGCCGCGUGUAUGAAGAAGGCCUUAGGGUUGUAAAGUACUUUUGUUAGGGAGGAAAAGCUACAGGCUAAUAUCCUGUAGUYAUGACAGUACCUAAAGAAUAAGCACCGGCUAACUACGUGCCAGCAGCCGCGGUAAUACGUAGGGUGCAAGCGUUAAUCGGAAUUACUGGGCGUAAAGCGAGUGCAGGCGGUUUGUUAAGCUAGAUGUGAAAGCCCCGGGCUCAACCUGGGAAUUGCGUUUAGAACUGGCAAGCUAGAGUGUGUCAGAGGGGGGUAGAAUUCCACGUGUAGCAGUGAAAUGCGUAGAGAUGUGGAGGAAUACCGAUGGCGAAGGCAGCCCCCUGGGAUAACACUGACGCUCAUACUCGAAAGCGUGGGUAGCAAACAGGAUUAGAUACCCUGGUAGUCCACGCCCUAAACGAUGACAUUAGCUGUUGGGGAAUUAAAAGUCCUUGGUAGCGUAGCUACGCGUGAAAUUGUCCGCCUGGGGAGUACGGUCGCAAGAUUAAAACUCAAGGAAUUGACGGGGACCCGCACAAGCGGUGGAUGAUGUGGAUUAAUUCGAUGCACGCGAGAACCUUACCUAGCCUUGACAUGUACGGAAGUCCGAUGAAAGUUGGAU